Molecule: ribosomal RNA, 300 nt
Filed under: uncultured bacterium
Lineage: Bacteria
Description: bacterial SSU rRNA
Rfam family: Bacterial small subunit ribosomal RNA
Source: RNAcentral
AGUCCCGCAACGAGCGCAACCCCUACUACUAGUUGCCAGCAUUUCGGAUGGGGACUCUAGUGGAACUGCCAGCGCAAGCUGUGAGGAAGGUGGGGACGACGUCAAGUCAUCAUGGCCCUUACGCCCAGGGCUACACACGUGCUACAAUGGCCGGUACAGAGGGUCGCGACACAGUGAUGUGAAGCCAAUCUCAAAAAGCCGGUCUCAGUUCGGAUCGGAGUCUGCAACUCGACUCCGUGAAGUUGGAAUCGCUAGUAAUCGCGCAUCAGCAAUGGCGCGGUGAAUACGUUCCCGGACCUU